GGGGAUGUGGCUUAAGCGGUAGCGUGCUUGCCUGGCAUGCAAGGGGUGCUGGGUUCGAUCCUCAGCACCACA
This 72-nucleotide transfer RNA is filed under the name Marmota monax (woodchuck). RNAcentral describes it as "tRNA.Ala". The record is from RNAcentral. Lineage: Eukaryota; Metazoa; Chordata; Mammalia; Rodentia; Sciuridae.